AGAGGGUGACCCCCCACACUGGUACUGAGACACGGACCAGACUCCUACGGGAGGCAGCAGUGAGGAAUAUUGGGCAAUGGAGGCAACUCUGACCCAGCCAUGCCGCGUGCAGGAAGAAUGCCCUAUGGGUUGUAAACUGCUUUUAUUUAGGAAUAAACCCUUCUACGUGUAGAAGGCUGAAUGUACUAAACGAAUAAGCACCGGCUAACUCCGUGCCAGCAGCCGCGGUAAUACGGAGGGUGCAAGCGUUAUCCGGAAUCAUUGGGUUUAAAGGGUCCGCAGGCGGACGUAUAAGUCAGUGGUGAAAUCCUGCAGCUUAACUGCAGAACUGCCAUUGAUACUGUACGUCUUGAAUUCGGUCGAAGUGGGCGGAAUGUGUAGUGUAGCGGUGAAAUGCAUAGAUAUUACACAGAACACCGAUAGCGAAGGCAGCUCACUAGGCCUGGAUUGACGCUCAGGGACGAAAGCGUGGGGAUCAA
RNAcentral lists this ribosomal RNA (479 nucleotides) under bacterium SCGC AAA074-P13. Its description in RNAcentral is "bacterial SSU rRNA". It matches the Rfam family "Bacterial small subunit ribosomal RNA", at positions 295 to 771 of the family's 1533-position model. The record is from RNAcentral.